Molecule: ribosomal RNA, 253 nt
Filed under: uncultured bacterium
Lineage: Bacteria
Description: partial 16S ribosomal RNA
Rfam family: Bacterial small subunit ribosomal RNA
Source: RNAcentral
UACGAAGGGGGCUAGCGUUGCUCGGAAUCACUGGGCGUAAAGGGCGCGUAGGCGGCCGAUCAAGUCAGGGGUGAAAUCCUGGAGCUCAACUCCAGAACUGCCUUUGAUACUGGGAAGCUUGAGUCCGGAAGAGGUGAGUGGAACUCCGAGUGUAGAGGUGAAAUUCGUAGAUAUUCGGAAGAACACCAGUGGCGAAGGCGGCUCACUGGUCCGGUACUGACGCUGAGGUGCGAAAGCGUGGGGAGCAAACAGG